This 253-nucleotide ribosomal RNA is filed under the name uncultured bacterium. RNAcentral's name for it is "partial 16S ribosomal RNA". It matches the Rfam family "Bacterial small subunit ribosomal RNA", at positions 524 to 776 of the family's 1533-position model. The record is from RNAcentral.
GACAGAGGGCUCAAACGUUGUUCGGAAUUACUGGGCAUAAAGCGCGCGUAGGCGGCUUGCUAAGUCGGUUGUGAAAUCCCUUGGCUCAACUGAGGAACUGCAUCCGAUACUGGCAGGCUCGAGGACGGGAGGGGUAAGCGGAACUCCAGGUGGAACGGUGAAAUGUGUAGAUAUCUGGAGGAACACCGGUGGCGAAAGCGGCUUACUGGCCCGUAUCUGACGCUGAUGUGCGAAAGCUAGGGGAGCAAACGGG